UGCCUCAUGGUAUUGUAGACUGGCAUCAGUUUAUAAUUAAAGAUUUAUCGGUAAAAGAUGGCUAUGCGUCCUAUUAGUUAGUUGGUAAGGUAACGGCUUACCAAGACAGCGAUAGGUAGGGUCCUGAGAGGGAGAUCCCCCACACUGGUACUGAGACACGGACCAGACUCCUACGGGAGGCAGCAGUGAGGAAUAUUGGACAAUGGAGGAGACUCUGAUCCAGCCAUGCCGCGUGUAGGAAGAAUGCCCUAUGGGUUGUAAACUACUUUUAUACAGGAAGAAAC
This 284-nucleotide ribosomal RNA is filed under the name uncultured Polaribacter sp. RNAcentral describes it as "partial 16S ribosomal RNA". It matches the Rfam family "Bacterial small subunit ribosomal RNA", at positions 167 to 451 of the family's 1533-position model. Lineage: Bacteria; Pseudomonadati; Bacteroidota; Flavobacteriia; Flavobacteriales; Flavobacteriaceae. The record is from RNAcentral.